RNAcentral lists this long non-coding RNA (2852 nucleotides) under Lactuca sativa (garden lettuce). RNAcentral describes it as "long non-coding RNA (LSAT_LNC000279)". The record is from RNAcentral. Lineage: Eukaryota; Viridiplantae; Streptophyta; Magnoliopsida; Asterales; Asteraceae.
UAAGCAAGCCCUAGGGCUAUAGAGGAUACAAUGCAACAAAUAUUGUAAUGCAGUUACACUAGUACUUGGUUAGGGUUUAGACCAUAAUAGGUCUAAAAUUUUGAGUUAUGACACUAAAUCUCUCUCUCAAAGUCCUCCGUUGUUCUUGGUGUUUGUGAACCAUUUGAGGCAUCACACUUGAGGUUCUAAGCUCUUGAAAGGCCAAAAUUACAGGCUACAAUAAAGAGGUAUUUUUCUAACUUGAUUUUAUAAAUCAUGUACCAAUAUUGUAUGCUAGUUGUAGGCUUCAUGCUUUGGAAAUCAUAUUGCAUGUAUCAUUAGAGAAAACAUAGAUCCAAAGCAUUUAGGGUUGCAUGUGCACCAUAGGAGUGUUAUAGUUCUUAAAACCCAACAUCUAUCUCAUGUGCAGAUAAGGUCACAAUUCGGCAUGACUAGAACAAAAAUAAUUCCAAUUCUGCUGAAAAUGAUUCCAAAUCAUGUGAUGAUGAUGCUCACACUGUUGAAAUUAUCAGGCCACAAAAAUCUGUUAAAUGGUGUGAUAAACGUUCAUGUGCUUGUGCUUGUGGAAGUUCCAUGAAAACAAACUUCAUUUGGAUAAGGAACAAGUCACAAUCUUAUUUAUUUGAAAAAAAACAUACUUGUUUUAACUAUGGGACUCUCGUUCACAUUGCUAGAAAUUGCCCACAUCGUUCAUAUGUUCCCUACUAUGAACAAGGUUGGAAAAUCGUGCCAAGAGUGAGAUCUUUCAAAAGAAAUCCUUCAAGGUCACAUUCACGCAAUGGUGACUGGAAUGCUAAAAAGGCCAAGAAUCAGAUUCCCUAGGACAAGAAGGGCAUGUCAGACAAUAUUUCUCAUUCGAGAGAUGGUUAAGUGAAACUAAAAUCGGUAAGGUAAAAUUCAUCUCAAGGGUCGUCUUCUAGCUCGCACUCAUAAUAAAGGCCUAAAUCGAAAGGUAGUCACCUCCCAAAGGUAAGUAAAAAAGGUCUAGUUGGUUGAACAAGAAAGUUCACAAACUUAAUUACCAAUGGGUUCCAAAAGGUCAUAUUUCAAAAACAACCAAAACUCGUGUAACUUCUUUAUAUUCUUUUUCUGAUAAACAGGAUAUGUCAUGCGAAAGAGUACCUUGUGUAGAUAGUAAUGGCAAAUCCAGUUUCAAAAUGGAUUGGGUUCCAAAAACCAACUAAUUUCGCACUAUGUAUCAGAACAACUAUGAAGGAAUAUCAUCAGACUUCGGUAUGUUGAUAAUGGUUGUUUUAGGCACAUGAUAGGAGAAAUCUCUCAACUGCACGACAUUCAAAACUUUAAUUGAGGGUCUGUGUCCUUUGCGGGAAGGGAAAGGAAAUAUCACAAAUAGGGACCGUAUUUAUUGGUGUGUAGAAGUUUGAUAACGUCAACUUCGUUUCGGAAUUGAAACACAGCUGAGGUUAAACACGUAGCUGCAUCUGCUUGUUAUUUUCUGCUCAUCUGGAUGCAACUUCAAUUGCUGAUUUACAGUUUUGAAUUUUAUGAUUCUUCUCUUCUCUGUGAUAAUAAUGCUGAUUUUUAAUUGUCCAAAAGCCAAAUCUUUCUUAAAACCAAGCUCGUGCUUAUGAGAUUUCUUAAGAUGAUGCGUUUCAAAGACUGAAUUUUUUUUUCAAUUUUAUUUAGUAUUUCUUAUUUUCUUCCAUUUUUCUUUUGAUAAUAUUUUGGGAAGUGAUAUGAAGUUUAGUUUUAAAGGGAAAUGUAAAAUAUGUGUAAUGUACUGAAGCUAUAUUGUUUAGACUCUAUGUUCAAUGUGCUAGUAGGCACGAAAGAUUCUAAAUGAAAGGACUAGACACUGUUGACAAAUGAAAGGACUUGACAGUGUUAACUCAUCUGAAAUUAGAUAGUUACAUUUGGACUGACCAUACGACGCUUGGAUAGAUUGAGCAGUGAGAUAAACAAAGGAGCCUACGAGAUACAUUAAAGUUACUUAUCAUCUAGAACUAUGGCUCAACACUUCUUCGACGUACAGACUUAUGUCAUUAAUUAUGGUGCUGAUAGGGUGACUGGGGGUUUUGAUAAAGUAGGUAUGUGUGAAAUUGUUUUUCUUUCUUAUCCUCUAUGUCAGUCAUAUGUUGCCCUUUUGCGUGAUUGGAAGAGAUCCGACUUGGGACGUAACAUAUGCAUCUUUAUCUAUGCAUCUCUCUAUUUAUCUAUGUCAUUCAUAUGAUGUCUCCUCUACGUGAUUGGAAGAGAUCUGACCUGGGACACAACAUAUGCAUCUUUCUAUCUCUUUAUCCCUCUAUCUAUGUUAGUCAUAUGUUGUCCCUCUGUGUAAUUUGAAGAGAUCUGACUUGGGAUACAACAUAUGCGUCUCUAUAUCCAUCUUCUCUCUCAAAUAAUUGAGCACUCACCUAACGUAAAGAGCUCUUUGAAAAUUCAUUGAUUGCUAGGGUAUGUCGUGAAGUGGGGAAUGCGUUCUAGUGCACUUAAAAAUGAAUUGGUUCAUGACUAANUAGGGCUAUAGAGGAUACAAUGCAACAAAUAUUGUAAUGCAGUUACACUAGUACUUGGUUAGGGUUUAGACCAUAAUAGGUCUAAAAUUUUGAGUUAUGACACUAAAUCUCUCUCUCAAAGUCCUCCGUUGUUCUUGGUGUUUGUGAACCAUUUGAGGCAUCACACUUGAGGUUCUAAGCUCUUGAAAGGCCAAAAUUACAGGCUACAAUAAAGAGGUAUUUUUCUAACUUGAUUUUAUAAAUCAUGUACCAAUAUUGUAUGCUAGUUGUAGGCUUCAUGCUUUGGAAAUCAUAUUGCAUGUAUCAUUAGAGAAAACAUAGAUCCAAAGCAUUUAGGGUUGCAUGUGCACCAUAGGAGUGUUAUAGUUCUUAAAA